This 440-nucleotide ribosomal RNA is filed under the name uncultured bacterium. RNAcentral's name for it is "partial 16S ribosomal RNA". It matches the Rfam family "Bacterial small subunit ribosomal RNA", at positions 338 to 795 of the family's 1533-position model. The record is from RNAcentral.
CCUACGGGGUGCUGCAGUGGGGGAUAUUGCACAAUGGGGGAAACCCUGAUGCAGCGACGCCGCGUGGGUGAAGAAGCGCCUCGGCGCGUAAAGCCCUGUCAGCAGGGAAGAAAAUGACGGUACCUGAAGAAGAAGCCCCGGCUAACUACGUUCAAGCAGCCGCGGUAAUACGUAGGGGGCAAGCGUUAUCCGGAUUUACUGGGGGUAAAGGGGGCGCAGACGGCGAUGCAAGCCAGGAGUGAAAGCCCGGGGCCCAACCCCGGGACUGCUCUUGGAACUGCGUGGCUAGAGUGCAGGAGGGGCAGGCGGAAUUCCUGGUGUAGCGGUGAAAUGCGUAGAUAUCAGGAGGAACACCGGUGGCGAAGGCGACCUGCUGGACUGCAACUGACGUUGAGGCCCGAAAGCGUGGGGAGCAAACAGGAUUAGAUACCCGAGUAGUC